RNAcentral lists this ribosomal RNA (873 nucleotides) under Triticum aestivum (bread wheat). RNAcentral's name for it is "partial small subunit ribosomal RNA". The record is from RNAcentral. Lineage: Eukaryota; Viridiplantae; Streptophyta; Magnoliopsida; Poales; Poaceae.
AUGGGACGUCCGUCGUCCGGCGGCGUGGGGCAGCCCAAGCUCCGCAAGGGGCUGUGGUCGCCUGAGGAAGACGAGAAGCUCUACAACCACAUCCUCCGUUACGGCGUGGGCUGCUGGAGCUCCGUCCCCAGGCUCGCCGGGCUGCACCGCUGCGGCAAGAGCUGCCGCCUCCGCUGGCUCAACUACCUCCGCCCCGACCUCAAGCGCGGCACCUUCUCGCAGGAGGAGGAGGACCACAUCGUCGCGCUCCACCAGAUCCUCGGCAACAGGUGGUCACAGAUCGCGUCGCACCUGCCGGGCCGGACGGACAACGAGAUCAAGAACUUCUGGAACAGCUGCAUCAAGAAGAAGCUCCGGCAACAAGGCAUCGACCCCGCCACGCACAAGCCCAUGGCCUCCGGCGCAGUCACGGCGGCAUUGCCGGACGUGGAAGUGGAAGACCGUAAGCCCCUUGCCGCGGCCGCCGACGGCAGCCUCGCUCUGAAGCAGUCGGCGGAGUUCGACCCGUUCCCGGUGUGCGCCGACUACGGCGGCGGGUUCGCCGGCGACCUUGGUGCCGCGAACGCGGCCGCACUGUACGUCCAGUUCGGCGACUGCAAGGACGGCGCGGACGACGAUGCCGGGUUCGGCGCCGCCGACUACAGCUGCGUGCUGGACGUGUCGGAGAACCUGGGCUACGGGGAGAGCUCAAGCAACAGCAGCAACUGGAACUACGGCGGCGAGGUGGGCAGCGUGCUCGACGGCGAGGUGCUGCACUGGGCCAAGGCGGAGAUGGAGCAGCAGCACGACGAGCCGUUGGAGCACAAGUUCUCGUUACCCUGCCAAGAACAGAGCCUCGCAAAUUUCGAGUUCAAUUUGGAACAAUAUUUUUGA